AUAGAGAAGAGGGGAUACCUAGAGAGCAAAUGUCACAAUUCUCAUACUAGGGUGAGAUUGAGGAUUUUUAAGACAUUUCCUUAUAAAAUUAAGAACUUAAUACUUAUAUUAACUAUGUUCUAUGCCAAGUUUAUUUACAUUCAUUUAUAAUAAAGUAGUUUGAUUAAAUUUUCAAUGCAUCUCUUUAUAAUGUCUUGAUGUGCACUUUGACCUAACCGUAGCGAGAGGGUUAAUGUUCAUCUCUGCCUCUUAAGACUGUGAUACUUGUUGUUUAUUUUUGUAUCAAUAGAAAGUAUUUUAUAAGGAGUAUUAGCAGACGUUGUUCACCAAACAACUCCCCUUAAUUCUGACUGUGGUUCUCCAUAACUUGCUGCUUGCACAAACCUUUCUAAUUCAUUCUUCUCAUCACUAGGGUCAUUGAGCUAAAUGUGUGUUUGCCUGAUUCUUACUUUUCUUUUGAUUUUACCCAUCACAAUAAACUCACUGUUAAACUUACUUAAGUACUAAAUGGUAAUUUUUAUUCCCUGUAAUAAUUCAACCUACCAGAAAGAUCACAUAUUCAAAACCAUUAUAUUAAUUCUUUAUAUUUGAAUCUUGUUUCCUUCACUGUCUCAGUGGUAAGUUUAUGACCUUACAAUGCUCAGACCCAAUUCCCUGUGGUGGACAAAGCUCAGAUAACCCAUUGUGUAACUUUGUAAUAAAACAACAACAGCAACUGUAAAUCUCACUGAUAGAUCAUUCAAAAAGUAUUGUUUAAAGGUGAAAUUGUGACAAAGUUUUUUCAUACAAUAUUAGAAAUGUUUAAUUUGCCCAUCUGUUUUUGUUAUGUUUUCAAAUAUAAAUAUUUUAUAAAGUCAAAUAAUUUAAUAAAAAGUUAAAAUGAAUAAAAUUUUUCUACAAUUAUGUUAAGAGGCAGAGAAUAAUUAAAGAUAUGAAGUUUUAAUCAGCAAUUUCCAUUUUGAAUGUGACAUUCUAAACAUAGUUUUAAAUUGUAUUAAAAUAUCUGUGUAUUAACUUUGAAAUAUCAGGGCAGGAGAUCUAGUCCCUGCUUUGGACUAUGGGAAAAGUACUUACUAAUUUCUUGGUUUCUAAAAUGUAGUUUUGUUUCUGAAUUUAAAGUUUUUUUCCACAGAUUUUACUUCCAGUUUUAAUGUCCCCCAGUGGCUUAUAACGUUAAAAGAAAAUAUUUCAAUGCCUAUGGUGGGCACAGCAUAGAUAGCCCUUUGUGUAGCUUUGUGCUGAAUUACAAAUCAGUUUGAAAAAACCCCAUUUAAUAUUCAACCUUACAUAUUUUGAGGUGAUAAUAAAAAGGAUGUUACCUAAAUAGAUGAACCCAUUUCUGUUGUUACAUAAAUAGGUGAACCCACUUCUGUUUUUACAUAAAUAGAUGAACCCAUUUCUAUUGUUACAUAAAUAGAUGAACCCAUUUCUGUUGUUACAUAAAUAGAUGAACCCACUUCUGUUGUUACAUAAAUAGAUGAACCCACUUCUGUUGUUAAAUAAAUAGAUUAACCCACUUCUGUUGUUACAUAAAUAGAUGAACCCAUUUCUGUUGUUAUAUAAAUAAGUGAAUCCAUUUCUGCUAAAGCCCAGCUACUCAAAGUAUUAAGAGCAAACUAAAACUCAUUCAGUGUAAAUGUUGAACUGUGAAUCCAAGAGCCAAUGGUUCACACCCUAUUGUCACAAAAUCACACUCCACAAUUUAGAGCCAUGGGUGCUUUAUAAGAGUGAUAGUCAAAUCCCAUUGUUCAAUUAAGAGUAGCUAAAGAAUUGGCAGUGAGUGGUGUUAACUAGUUGCCUUCUCUCUUGUCUCACUUCCAAAUUAGAAAUGGCUAGUACAGAAACCUUCUGUAACUUCAUGUGAAUAUCCAAAACAAACCUUCCUCCUUGUUGAAUUUUGGAUUAUUUAUUUCAAAAAUACACUAAAGAGAGUAUUUCAGCAGCUAAAACAUGUAUGCAAAGUACAAAAUAAUACAUUGGAACUUUGCAAUUCAAAGGUUGCUACCACUUGAAGAAUGCAAAAUCAAAAAAUUUGCAUAACUCAUCCUCAUCUGAUGAGGAGUUGACUGGUAUACUUGUAUCAUCUGAAUGUGUUAACACAUUCACUGUCACUGGAAAAAUGUGUACCCAAGAGUUUUAGUCAGUGCUAUCGAUUCAUGUGUGCAUCAACAGAGACAUUGAGGCAGUUGUAUUUUAUUGGAAUCAGCAUGCAUUAAAAGUUGGUUCUGCUGUGGCGGUACUUGUAGAAAUUUUGGUUGGUUGUAAACAUUAUUUUAUAUAUAUAUGUUUCCUUGUUGGCCUUUAUAAAAUGGAUAAAAAUAGUACCACUUCAAAGCUCACAAUAAGAAAGAAAAAUUCAGUGUUUUGGAAGGGGUAAAAGUGUAAAAACACAAUGUAUUAUUGUGAACAUUGUUGUAAAAACCAAGCCAUUUGUAUACAGCCAUGUUUUAUUAAAGUUUGUUGGUAAAUAAUGACUAAAAAGUAGUCUAGCAGAAUUUGUUUCGUACAUUUGAUGUACGUCAGAAAACAUCAUUAACUGAUGUGAUAUUCCCAUGAUUAUAAUUUACUUUUCUUUUACAUUCACAAAAUACCCCCAAACAUGACAAGGUAUAUAAAUGAUGCAGAUAUGUAUCUUGUAACACCAAUAGAAACAUUUUAGCUGCAGUGCCAAUGACGGUCACUCGCGUCAUGGUAUAGAUUUUAGUUGGAAAAUGAUAUAUACUCAUGAAUACUCUUAUCUGAUAUUAUUUUGCAUUAUCAAAAUGCUCCUGAUAAAAUGGCACCUGGAAUGGGUGUCAAUAUCCGAGGUAGCAGUGAAUGUGUUAAUGAUUUCAUUACUGUUUAUAUCUGUUGUGGUUUUAUGUAAGAAAAACCAUGUAUCUAACAAAUAUCUCUUUCACUGAAAUUGAUGUAGUCCUCCCACAGUUUUAUAUAAAUCUUUAUAUAGAAGCACCAGAUGGUGGAUAAUGUGUAGCACUCAACAAAACCUGUGAACUGAUAAUAUAUGGACUGUAUGAAAAAGUUAUCUUUCUUAUGAGACUAGUUUUUAAUGUGCUAGUUCAUAAUGAGUUAUAAGUAAAUAGUGUAGUAGAAGUUAUUAUUAAAUUCACCUAUCUUUUAUUUUCAAGAUGUUAGAUCCAGGACAGGUUAGCUUUCACUUCAGUUAUUAAAAGUCUUGUAAUGAGUUACCUGUAUAAGUAGUAGUUAUAAUUAAUUUCAUAAAUAAAGUAUUUCAGCCAUCUCAAAUUUUAUAAGUUUCAUUUUCACAGAUUCUGUGUCUGUUAAAUUUGAACUUUCUGCUAUACUUAAUACAAAUUGAUCCAUUUGAUAUUUCUGACAUAUUCACUUUUUAUAGAUUUAGUUUUGUUUGCAUUUGCCUUAAGGUAAAAAAAAAAAAAAAAAGAGAGGAUAUUUUCCAAUUUAUCCAGAUGAAACCCAUAGUUGUUGAAUGUGGUGGUUGGAUUACUUGGGUAA
Molecule: long non-coding RNA, 3474 nt
Organism: Limulus polyphemus (Atlantic horseshoe crab)
Lineage: Eukaryota; Metazoa; Arthropoda; Merostomata; Xiphosura; Limulidae
Exons: 2
Source: RefSeq, a predicted model, not a curated record